GACGAACGCUGGCGGCGUGCUUAACACAUGCAAGUCGAACGGAAAGGCCUCUUUCGGGGGGUACUCGAGUGGCGAACGGGUGAGUAACACGUGAGUAACCUGCCCUUGACUUUGGGAUAACUUCAGGAAACUGGGGCUAAUACCGGAUAGGAGCUCCUGCUGCAUGGUGGGGGUUGGAAAGUUUCGGCGGUUGGGGGUGGACUCGCGGCGUAUCAGCUUGUUGGUGGGGUAGUGGCUUACCAAGGCUUUGACGGGUAGCCGGCCUGAGAGGGUGACCGGCGACAUUGGGACUGAGAGACGGCCCAGACUCCUACGGGAGGCAGCAGUGGGGAAUAUUGCACAAUGGGUGGAAGCCUGAUGCAGCAACGCCGUGUGCGGGAUGACGGCCUUCGGGUUGUAAACCGCUUUCGCUCAUGACGAAGCUUUGUGUGACGGUAGUGGGUAAAGAAGCACCGGCUAACUACGUG
Molecule: ribosomal RNA, 467 nt
Filed under: uncultured bacterium
Lineage: Bacteria
Description: partial 16S ribosomal RNA
Rfam family: Bacterial small subunit ribosomal RNA
Source: RNAcentral